CAGCCAGAGCGCGAAACGUCAGUUUAACGUAAAAGAGAGCGAGAACAACGUCACACACCGUGGCCUUGAGUGAGCAGCAGUCUAGAGUGAGCCACGGCCGGCUUGAAUGAGCAGAGGCGGGCAGUUUGAGAACGGUGCGGCAGGCGGACUCUACGAAGGCACGUACCUUGGUCUUGCAUCAACCACAUGUGACGACCCCAGGCUGGACGCCGCUUCGUCCACAGUGAAAGCUGAUUCGGCGAUCCACAGCACAAAGUUGUUGUAUUUUCUUAGCGACCAGCAUGGAUCAGUUCCAGGCAUGACGAAAUGGAUAUCAUCCUCUUUUGGAAGGCCAUACAAAGUAGUUUCGCUAUCACAGUGAAACACACAGCUUCUAUACGACAUGGCGGCAAGAAUAAAAGCUCUAUAUGAGCCCACAGGUAACAGAUGUCACACGGGAGUUGUCGACUUUAUGAGGCCUCGGAGAGCAUGUGUCAGACCUUCACAGUGAGCAACGAGCGAGAGAGUCUCAUUUUUAGGUUUGAACUUGUGAUGUCUCUUGCUCCAGGCAAGAAAUAUUCCUCUGAGCCCCAUCAUCUCAUGUUCAUUUGGGGAGACUGAGCCCCCCCAAAACUGAAAUCCAAGAACCGCCUCUGGGGAUGCCUGGUCUGCGGGUGUGAUUAGUGUGCCAGGGUGAUGUGUGUGGUCAGAAAGUCCAACUCCAUGAGCUACCAUGACAGAUUUCAAAUAAAAAAAUUCAGGGGGUUCCUGCACCAGCCAGACUGUGUCAUUGAGUGGUGGGAAACGCAUGACAGGUGUGCAGUGAGAGAUGGUUCCAUGCCGUCGCCGCUUCCCCUGGGCGUGACCGCGGUCAGACUGCUGUUCCAGCCCGAUGGGUUCAGGUACCCAUGUGGCCAAGAGAAGAAAAUACGAGAAAAAGAGACGAUUAACAUGAGACUGCUUUGACACUGCUAAUUUAGGAAAAACUGUGAGUGAUUUUGUUGUAAAAAGAAGAAAUAAUAUAAGGGAGAAAAAGAAAAGAUGAAUUUAAGUCAUUUUACUUUUAUUAGCCCCUUUACAGCCCCUUUACUUGUGUUUUUUCUAUCAAGACAACUCUUGGAAGCUUUAAGCAUGGUAAUGUAUAUGCCAAUGUUAAUAUAUUUGUUCUUGCCAGAAUAGGUCUUCUGUGCUGCUGGAUUUCUGCUGUUGUUGUAGAUUAUUACUGCAAAAAAAAAAAAAAAUAAAGGAAAUUGCUACUGCCAAUAGACACACAUAUACGCACACACACAUGUAUAUACUGUGUAUAUAUAUAUAUAUAUAUAUAUAUAUAUAUAUAUAUAUAUAUAUAUAUAUAUACACACACACACAACCUGUAACUGGAAGGUUUGUAAAACAUU
Molecule: long non-coding RNA, 1376 nt
Organism: Cyprinus carpio carpio
Lineage: Eukaryota; Metazoa; Chordata; Actinopteri; Cypriniformes; Cyprinidae
Source: Ensembl